RNAcentral lists this ribosomal RNA (484 nucleotides) under uncultured bacterium. RNAcentral describes it as "partial 16S ribosomal RNA". It matches the Rfam family "Bacterial small subunit ribosomal RNA", at positions 30 to 507 of the family's 1533-position model. The record is from RNAcentral.
AUUGAACGCUGGCGGCAGGCCUAACACAUGCAAGUCGAGCGGAUGAAGGGAGCUUGUUCCUGGAUUCAGCGGCGGACGGGUGAGUAAUGCCUAGGAAUCUGCCUGGUAGUGGGGGAUAACGUCCGGAAACGGGCGCUAAUACCGCAUACGUCCUGAGGGAGAAAGUGGGGGAUCUUCGGACCGCACGCUAUCAGAUGAGCCUAGGUCGGAUUAGCUAGUUGGUGGGGUAAAGGCCUACCAAGGCGACGAUCCGUAACUGGUCGGAGAGGAUGAUCAGUCACACUGGAACUGGGACACGGUCCAGACUCCUACGGGAGGCAGCAGUGGGGAAUAUUGGACAAUGGGCGAAAGCCUGAUCCAGCCAUGCCGCGUGUGUGAAGAAGGUCUUCGGAUUGUAAAGCACUUUAAGUUGGGAGGAAGGGCAGUAAGUUAAUACCUUGCUGUUUUGACGUUACCAACAGAAUAAGCACCGGCUAACUUCGUG